CAAGUCGAACGAUGAACCCCUUCGGUGGGGAUUAGUGGCGAACGAGUGAGUAACACGUGGGCAAUCUGCCCUGCACUCUGGGACAAGCCCUGGAAACGGGGUCUAAUAGCGGAUACCACCCGGGGGCGCAUGCCCUUGGGUUGAAAGCUCCGGCGGUGCAGGAUGAGCCCGCGGCCUAUCAGCUUGUUGGUGGGGUGAUGGCCUACCAAGGCGACGACGGGUAGCCGGCCUGAGAGGGCGACCGGCCACACUGGGACUGAGACAGGGCCCAGACUCCUACGGGAGGCAGCAGUGGGGAAUAUUGCACAAUGGGCGAAAGCCUGAUGCAGCGACGCCGCGUGAGGGAUGACGGCCUUCGGGUUGUAAACCUCUUUCAGCAGGGAAGAAGCGAGAGUGACGGUACCUGCAGAAGAAGCGCCGGCUAACUACGUGCCAGCAGCCGCGGUAAUACGUAGGGCGCAAGCGUUGUCCGGAAUUAUUGGGCGUAAAAAGCUCGCAGGCGGCUUGUCACGUCCGGUGUGAAAGCCCGGGGCUUAACCCCGGGUCUGCAUUCGAUACGGGCAGGCUAGAGUGUGGUAGGGGAGAUCGGAAUUCCUGGUGUAGCGGUGAAAUGCGCAGAUAUCAGGAGGAACACCGGUGGCGAAGGCGGAUCUCUGGGCCAUUAGUGACGCUGAGGAGCGAAAGCGUGGGGAGCGAACAGGAUUAGAUACCCUGGUAGUCCACGCCGUAAACGCUGGGAACUAGGUGUUGGCGUCAUUCCACGUCGUCGGUGCCGCAGCUAACGCAUUAAGUUCCCCGCCUGGGGAGUACGGCCGCUAGGCUAAAACUCAAAGGAAUUGACGGGGGCCCGCACAAGCAGCGGAGCAUGUGGCUUAAUUCGACGCAACGCGAAGAACCUUACCAAGGCUUGACAUACACCGGAAAGCAUUAGAGAUAGUGCCCCCCUUGUGGUCGGUGUACAGGU
Molecule: ribosomal RNA, 964 nt
Filed under: Streptomyces clavuligerus
Lineage: Bacteria; Bacillati; Actinomycetota; Actinomycetes; Kitasatosporales; Streptomycetaceae
Description: bacterial SSU rRNA
Rfam family: Bacterial small subunit ribosomal RNA
Source: RNAcentral